UGGGGAAUAUUGCACAAUGGGCGGAAGCCUGAUGCAGCGACGCCGCGUGAGGGAUGACGGCCUUCGGGUUGUAAACCCCUUUCAGCAGGGACGAAGCGUGAGUGACGGUACCUGCAGAAGAAGCGCCGGCCAACUACGUGCCAGCAGCCGCGGUAAGACGUAGGGCGCGAGCGUUGUCCGGAUUUAUUGGGCGUAAAGAGCUCGUAGGCGGCUUGUCGCGUCGACCGUGAAAACUUGGGGCUCAACCCCAAGCCUGCGGUCGAUACGGGCAGGCUAGAGUUCGGUAGGGGAGACUGGAAUUCCUGGUGUAGCGGUGAAAUGCGCAGAUAUCAGGAGGAACACCGGUGGCGAAGGCGGGUCUCUGGGCCGAUACUGACGCUGAGGAGCGAAAGCGUGGGGAGCGAACAGGAUUAGAUACCCUGGUAGUCCACGCUGUAAACGUUGGGCGCUAGGUGUGGGGGGCCUCUCCGGUUCCCUGUGCCGCAGCCAACGCAUUAAGCGCCCCGCUGGGGAGUACGGCCGCAAGGCUAAAACUU
RNAcentral lists this ribosomal RNA (536 nucleotides) under uncultured bacterium. RNAcentral's name for it is "partial 16S ribosomal RNA". It matches the Rfam family "Bacterial small subunit ribosomal RNA", at positions 355 to 902 of the family's 1533-position model. The record is from RNAcentral.